This is a long non-coding RNA of Equus caballus (horse), 657 nucleotides long. RefSeq lists it as uncharacterized. NCBI's taxonomy places the organism in Eukaryota, Metazoa, Chordata, Mammalia, Perissodactyla, Equidae. The record is from RefSeq and is a predicted model, not a curated record.
CAUCUUGGGUAAUCUGCAAUGCCAAUUCUCUGCGUUUUGCUCCAGCGAGAGUCACAUGAAAUGAGCUUCAGUCCCACUGAAAUAGAGUCUGAAGGAUGCAAAUAGACAGAGCUGAGGCUUUGGAAAUGGAAAUAAAGAGAAGUUGGAACAGAUGGAAAACAUACAGAAGUGUGUGACUAUGGAGUUCUGAAGAGGAUGGGCGGUUUGUUCGGAGGCUGAAGGGGCAGUGAAUGAAGGCUGAGAGUGAUUUGGAGGCCUGACUCUGUGAAGUAUUUCGAUGCCAAAGAAAUCUGAGGAAAAAAACAAAAGAACCACUCUGGCGAGAGGUCCACUUCCAGAGCAUUUCCAGUUGUAAGAAUCAUUCCCACAGCAGGUCAUUAAGUGGAGACCUGCUUCUAAGCAUGAAUCUUCUCCUUCCUCUGCUUUGGUCUGCCAUCUGUCAUUGAAAGAAAUUAGGAAAGCAUAGAAAAAUACAAUGACGUGACCAUUGGUGUCAUAUCGUCAGGUUUUCUUCCCAUCUUUUGCUGAUGUACUUCUCAAACAGUGGGCAUUUUUUUUUGUAUAUAAGAGUCUAUAUUCUACUUUCUGCUAAACCUUGUACAAUGUUCCCAUUCAUUUAAAAUUCUUUAUAAAAUGCCUUUUAAUGCUGAACAAUGU